Molecule: ribosomal RNA, 530 nt
Filed under: uncultured organism
Description: eukaryotic LSU rRNA
Rfam family: 5.8S ribosomal RNA (bases 197-350)
Source: RNAcentral
UUCCGUAGGUGAACCUGCGGAGGGAUCAUUACACAAAUAUGAAGGCGGGCUGGAACCUCUCGGGGUUACAGCCUUGCUGAAUUAUUCACCCUUGUCUUUUGCGUACUUCUUGUUUCCUUGGUGGGUUCGCCCACCACUAGGACAAACAUAAACCUUUUGUAAUUGCAAUCAGCGUCAGUAACAAAUUAAUAAUUACAACUUUCAACAACGGAUCUCUUGGUUCUGGCAUCGAUGAAGAACGCAGCGAAAUGCGAUAAGUAGUGUGAAUUGCAGAAUUCAGUGAAUCAUCGAAUCUUUGAACGCACAUUGCGCCCUUUGGUAUUCCAAAGGGCAUGCCUGUUCGAGCGUCAUUUGUACCCUCAAGCUUUGCUUGGGGGUGGGCGUCUUGUCUCUAGCUUUGCUGGAGACUCGCCUUAAAGUAAUUGGCAGCCGGCCUACUGGUUUCGGAGCGCAGCACAAGUCGCACUCUCUAUCAGCAAAGGUCUAGCAUCCAUUAAGCCUUUUUUUUCAACUUUUGACCUCGGAUCAGG